UGAGUUAGGUGCUUAGAAUACUAAGCAUGAACGUGUUAUCUAGGUCUAUUCAAGAAUGAUUGAUAGAUAUCUAGGUAUUACUUUUAUCUUGUAUGUCACAUUUGAGGUGAAUUCGUUGUGACGUCUCCCAGUUUUGGGAUGCGUUCUGACACUACUUAGGGUGGAAGGAAAUGUGAGGGAAUGUUAUUCCCGAGUUUUCUCUUACACCAAGUUUCGAGGACGAAACUUUCUUUUUGGGGGGUAGUAUUGUAAGACCCUGAAUUAAAUAACUAGAUUAUUGAUUUAUUUUCGAUUUAUUAAUUUAAUUGAGUAUUUAUAUUCUAUUGUUUUUAUGUUUGUUUAUGGCAAGUGUUCCAUUACAAAACUUUUGACUGUAAGAUCGAUAUGUUUCGCUUUCCGGAAAUCCGAUAAAGUUAGACCUUAUCUCCGCAGGGACUUGCGAGACCCUGAACCGUGUUCGAAGCUCCUUGCGGAGUUUUUGUCCGCGUUGUUUUAAUCCUUUCAUCUCUAUAAAUCUUUUCCGUGAAUGAAGUUUUCUCAUCCGGAGAAUAUUUCCUUAAUCAGUUUUGUGUCAGAUUUUGGAGCAGGUCGUUUCCAAAAUAUUUUCUCCUCAAAUGAUAAUAAUCACUAUUGUCAUUUUCCUAUAAUUCAUACUUAGCUUAAACGCAUAAUAUGACGACGUCAUAUUUGUUCUAAUUGUCUCGCAAUUAUUCUUUAGCUCUGUUUCUACUCAUUUCUUGGUGCAUGAAUCAUUUUAUUUUGCUCAAAGUGAUUCAAAUUUAUAUUUUAUCAUUUCAUAGAGUUCCUCAUAAUUUUUGAUAUAAUAAUAUAUCACUCUUAUAUUUUUCUCUUAAUUCUAUGAGCUAAAUCAUUCAGUGUCCAAAUUAAUUUGUACCGAUUAAUAAAUAUCUUCUCAUUUAUCCUUGGAUAUCCCUCCUCCACGUCCCACAUGUCAAGGUACCACCAAUCAGAUUUCCAACCUCUCAUUCUCGUCCACUCUCUUUGACUUUUCCUUCUUUCUCUUCAUAAUAUCUUUCUUUCUUCUUCUGCAACAAACUUCUCUUUUCUUCUUCUUCCUCUUUUCUUUUAUUCCUUGCAGCACUUCUUCCUUCUUUCAUUUCUUUUGCUGAAGCACCCACACCACCAUGGUACCUCUCACUCACGUCCCCUUCUCCCUCUCCACGAGAUGCUACCGCUGGCUACCAUCACCAUGUCUUCUUCCUCUCAACACCAUCGUCCCUCCUCCUCACCGUGGCUGUAUGUCCAGCCAAGAGCCACCACCACCUUGACUUUUCUUCUCUUUGGACAACCAACCCAUGAGCCACCACCAUAUACAAAAGCUCCGACCAUGGCCACUCCAAACAGCCAUGAACACGCGAGCACCACAGCCACCGCUGGUCACCACCGCCACGCCUCCUUUCAUGAGCGAACCACCAUGUCUUCUCCAAUCUUCAAGGCUGAAGCCAUUUUUCCUCAAAGCUUUCCUUUUUCGUGCUUUUCUCCUCUCACACAAAGAACAAACAAGGGUACGAAGGACGAAAGCGCCUUGCGACGAAGCUAAGGAAUAGAAGGAAGCGAGCCGACGCGAAAAACAAAGAUGAGAUAGGAUUGGAGUUGCAGUUUAGGAAGAAAAUUGGCUAAGGUAAGGGUAACUCGGUUUUAGAGCGUCUUUGAGUCUUGCAUGCUUUUAUCGCACUGCCUGUGUUUGAGAUGAAGAUGUUUAUAUUGAUUGGCAGAUGAUUAUGAUUAUUAUGCUGAAUUUGGAAAA
Lotus japonicus is the source of this 1768-nucleotide long non-coding RNA. RefSeq lists it as uncharacterized. The record is from RefSeq and is a predicted model, not a curated record. The transcript has 2 exons. Lineage: Eukaryota; Viridiplantae; Streptophyta; Magnoliopsida; Fabales; Fabaceae.